RNAcentral lists this ribosomal RNA (579 nucleotides) under Pichia kudriavzevii. Its description in RNAcentral is "partial large subunit ribosomal RNA". It matches the Rfam family "Eukaryotic large subunit ribosomal RNA", at positions 53 to 654 of the family's 3401-position model. The record is from RNAcentral. Lineage: Eukaryota; Fungi; Ascomycota; Pichiomycetes; Pichiales; Pichiaceae.
GAGGAAAAGGAACCAACAGGGAUUGCCUCAGUAGCGGCGAGUGAAGCGGCAAGAGCUCAGAUUUGAAAUCGUGCUUUGCGGCACGAGUUGUAGAUUGCAGGUUGGAGUCUGUGUGGAAGGCGGUGUCCAAGUCCCUUGGAACAGGGCGCCCAGGAGGGUGAGAGCCCCGUGGGAUGCCGGCGGAAGCAGUGAGGCCCUUCUGACGAGUCGAGUUGUUUGGGAAUGCAGCUCCAAGCGGGUGGUAAAUUCCAUCUAAGGCUAAAUACUGGCGAGAGACCGAUAGCGAACAAGUACUGUGAAGGAAAGAUGAAAAGCACUUUGAAAAGAGAGUGAAACAGCACGUGAAAUUGUUGAAAGGGAAGGGUAUUGCGCCCGACAUGGGGAUUGCGCACCGCUGCCUCUCGUGGGCGGCGCUCUGGGCUUUCCCUGGGCCAGCAUCGGUUCUUGCUGCAGGAGAAGGGGUUCUGGAACGUGGCUCUUCGGAGUGUUAUAGCCAGGGCCAGAUGCUGCGUGCGGGGACCGAGGACUGCGGCCGUGUAGGUCACGGAUGCUGGCAGAACGGCGCAACACCGCCCGUCU